RNAcentral lists this ribosomal RNA (614 nucleotides) under Aureobasidium pullulans. RNAcentral describes it as "eukaryotic LSU rRNA". It matches the Rfam family "Eukaryotic large subunit ribosomal RNA", at positions 38 to 667 of the family's 3401-position model. Lineage: Eukaryota; Fungi; Ascomycota; Dothideomycetes; Dothideales; Saccotheciaceae. The record is from RNAcentral.
GCAUAUCAAUAAGCGGAGGAAAAGAAACCAACAGGGAUUGCCCUAGUAACGGCGAGUGAAGCGGCAACAGCUCAAAUUUGAAAGCUAGCCUUCGGGUUCGCAUUGUAAUUUGUAGAGGAUGAUUUGGGGAAGCCGCCUGUCUAAGUUCCUUGGAACAGGACGUCAUAGAGGGUGAGAAUCCCGUAUGUGACAGGAAAUGGCACCCUAUGUAAAUCUCCUUCGACGAGUCGAGUUGUUUGGGAAUGCAGCUCUAAAUGGGAGGUAAAUUUCUUCUAAAGCUAAAUAUUGGCGAGAGACCGAUAGCGCACAAGUAGAGUGAUCGAAAGAUGAAAAGCACUUUGGAAAGAGAGUUAAAAAGCACGUGAAAUUGUUGAAAGGGAAGCGCUUGCAAUCAGACUUGUUUAAACUGUUCGGCCGGUCUUCUGACCGGUUUACUCAGUUUGGACAGGCCAGCAUCAGUUUCGGCGGCCGGAUAAAGGCUCUGGGAAUGUGGCCUCCACUUCGGUGGAGGUGUUAUAGCCCAGGGUGUAAUACGGCCAGCCGGGACUGAGGUCCGCGCUUCGGCUAGGAUGCUGGCGUAAUGGUUGUAGCCGACCCGUCUUGAAACACGGACC